This 404-nucleotide ribosomal RNA is filed under the name Verrucomicrobiota bacterium. Its description in RNAcentral is "Verrucomicrobia bacterium partial 16S ribosomal RNA". It matches the Rfam family "Bacterial small subunit ribosomal RNA", at positions 355 to 776 of the family's 1533-position model. Lineage: Bacteria; Pseudomonadati; Verrucomicrobiota. The record is from RNAcentral.
UGGGGAAUAUUGCACAAUGGGGGAAACCCUGAUGCAGCGACGCCGCGUGAGCGAUGAAGGCUUUCGAGUCGUAAAGCUCUGUCCUAGGGGAAGAUAAUGACGGUACCAUAGAAGAAAGCCCCGGCUAAUUACGUGCCAGCAGCCGCGGUAAUACGUAAGGGGCGAGCGUUGUCCGGAAUUAUUGGGCGUAAAGAGUGCGUAGGCGGCAAAUUAAGUCAGAUGUGAAAACUAAGGGCUCAACCCAUAGAUUGCAUCUGAAACUGAUAUGCUUGAGUCAAGGAGAGGAAAGUGGAAUUCCUAGUGUAGCGGUGGAAUGCGUAGAUAUUAGGGGGAAUACCGGUGGCGAAAGCGGCUUUUUGGCCUGCAACUGACACUGAGGCGCGAAAGCGUGGGGAGCAAACAGG